UGGACGAAAACUGNCGCUGAGGCGCGAAAGCCAGGGGAGCGAACGGGAUUAGAUACCCCGGUAGUCCUGNCCGUAAACGGUGGGUACUAGGUGUAGGAGGUAUCGACCCCUUCUGUGCCGGAGUUAACGCAAUAAGUACCCCGCCUGGGGAGUACGACCGCAAGGUUGAAACUCAAAGGAAUUGACGGGGGCCCGCACAAGCGGUGGAGUAUGUGGUUUAAUUNGACGCAACGCGAAGAACCUUACCAGGUCUUGACAUUGAUGGACAGAACCAGAGAUGGUUCNUCUUCUUCGGAAGCCAGAAAACAGGUGGUGCACGGUUGUCGUCAGCUCGUGUCGUGAGAUGUUGGGUUAAGUCCCNNAANANNNCGCAACCCCUAUCUUAUGUUGCCAGCACGUAAAGGUGGGAACUCAUGAGAGACUGCCGCAGACAAUGCGGAGGAAGGCGGGGAUGACGUCAAAUCAUCAUGCCCCUUAUGACCUGGGCUACACACGUACUACAAUGGGAGUUAAUAGACGGAAGCGAGAUCGCGAGAUGGAGCAAACCCGAGAAACACUCUCUCAGUUCGGAUCGUAGGNUGC
This 582-nucleotide ribosomal RNA is filed under the name uncultured bacterium. RNAcentral's name for it is "bacterial SSU rRNA". It matches the Rfam family "Bacterial small subunit ribosomal RNA", at positions 730 to 1308 of the family's 1533-position model. The record is from RNAcentral.